GACGACGCUGGCGGCGUGCCUAAUACAUGCAAGUAGGACGAGUUGCGAACGGGUGAGUAACGCGUGGUAACCUGCCUAUUAGAGGGGGAUAACUACUGGAAACGGUGGCUAAUACCGCAUACUAUCGGAUGAACCCAUAUGGGAUUAGCUAGUAGGUGGGGUAAAGGCUCACCUAGGCGACGAUCUCUAGCUGGUCUGAGAGGAUGAUCAGCCACACUGGGACUGAGACACGGCCCAGACUCCUACGGGAGGCAGCAGUGGGGAAUAUUGCACAAUGGGCGCAAGCCUGAUGCAGCCAUGCCGCGUGUAUGAAGAAGGCCUUAGGGUUGUAAAGUACUUUCAGCGGGGAGGCGUUACCCGCAGAAGAAGCACCGGCUAACUCCGUGCCAGCAGCCGCGGUAAUAC
This 405-nucleotide ribosomal RNA is filed under the name uncultured bacterium. Its description in RNAcentral is "partial 16S ribosomal RNA". It matches the Rfam family "Bacterial small subunit ribosomal RNA", at positions 33 to 526 of the family's 1533-position model. The record is from RNAcentral.